Molecule: long non-coding RNA, 984 nt
Filed under: Oryzias javanicus (javanese ricefish)
Lineage: Eukaryota; Metazoa; Chordata; Actinopteri; Beloniformes; Adrianichthyidae
Description: lncRNA (ENSOJAG00000014869.1)
Source: RNAcentral
CCUAGCGAGCUCCUCUGUAGCGAGCUAGCAAGCUUAUCUUUAGCAAGCUAGGGAGUUCCUCUGUGGCAUGCUAGUGAGUUCUUUAGUAGCAUGCUAGCUAGCUUAUCUUUAGCGAGCUAGUGAGUUUCUCUGUAGUAUCCUUGUGAGUUCCUCUGUAGCAAGUUAGCUAGCUUAUCUUUAGGGAGCUCCACAGUAGAGAGUUAGCAGGCUCCACUGUAGCAUGCUAGCAAGCUCCUCUGUAGUGAGCUAGCAAGCUCCUCUGUUGCAUGUAAAUGAGUUCCUCUGUAGCAAGUUAGCAAGCUAAUCUUUAGGGAGCUCCACUAUAGAGAGUUAGCAGGCUCCACUGGAGCAUCCUAGUGAGUUCCUCUGUAGCAUGCUAGCUAGCUUAUCUUUAGCGAGCUAGUGAGUUUCUCUGUAGCAUCCUAGUGAGUUCCUCUGUAGCAUGCUAGCUAGCUUAUCUUUAGCGAGCUAGUGAGUUCCUCUGUAGCAUGCUAGCUAGCUUAUCUUUAGCGAGCUUGUGCGUUUCUCUGUAGCAUCCUAGUGAGUUCCUCUGUAGCCAGAUCACGGAUCUUAGGUCACCUGGGGUCUCUGGUGUGAAUGGUGAUUUGUCCUCUGUGAUGGACUGGUGACGUGUCCUGAUUGAUGGGAUGGGAUAGGCUCCAGCAACGCCCAAAGGGAUUAAUUGGAUUUGGGUUGUAGAUGAUCGAUUCUGGUCACAUUUUUGGCUGCCGAACCAACUUCAAUCAUCUAAAAUGUCAACAGUUGGUGUCAUAUGACAAUAAACCAAAGCAAAGAAGGCCGCAGAGAAAGAGGCAAAAGCUAAGAAGCAGAAAGGUCCAAAACCCACCAAGAAACCCAAGGCCCCAAAACCAACCAAGAAACCAAAACCACCAAAACCCACCAAGAGGCCAAAGGUCCCCAAAGCCACCAAGAGGCCGAAGACGACGACCUCAGCGCCACUGGACGAGGAGGAGAAGCUCCUGA